GCUGGGAUAGUUCCGUCGAUAGAGCUUGAGACUCUUAAUCUUAGGUUUGUGAGUUCAAGCCCCACGUUGCA
Non-coding RNA from Podarcis lilfordi (Lilford's wall lizard), 71 nucleotides. The record is from the annotation of a GenBank genome assembly. NCBI's taxonomy places the organism in Eukaryota, Metazoa, Chordata, Lepidosauria, Squamata, Lacertidae.